GACGAACGCUGGCGGCGUGCUUAACACCUGCAAGUCGAACGGAAAGGCCCUGCUUUUGUGGGGUGCUCGAGUGGCGAACGGGUGAGUAACACGUGAGUAACCUGCCCUUGACUUUGGGAUAACUUCAGGAAACUGGGGCUAAUACCGGAUAGGAGCUCCUGCUGCAUGGUGGGGGUUGGAAAGUUUCGGCGGUUGGGGAUGGACUCGCGGCUUAUCAGCUUGUUGGUGGGGUAGUGGCUUACCAAGGCUUUGACGGGUAGCCGGCCUGAGAGGGUGACCGGCCACAUUGGGACUGAGAUACGGCCCAGACUCCUACGGGAGGCAGCAGUGGGGAAUAUUGCACAAUGGGCGGACGCCUGAUGCAGCAACGCCGCGUGCGGGAUGACGGCCUUCGGGUUGUAAACCGCUUUCGCCUGUGACGAAGCGUGAGUGACGGUAAUGGGUAAAGAAGCACCGGCUAACUACGUG
Molecule: ribosomal RNA, 468 nt
Filed under: uncultured bacterium
Lineage: Bacteria
Description: partial 16S ribosomal RNA
Rfam family: Bacterial small subunit ribosomal RNA
Source: RNAcentral